This 231-nucleotide unclassified non-coding RNA is filed under the name Hevea brasiliensis (rubber tree). The record is from RNAcentral. Lineage: Eukaryota; Viridiplantae; Streptophyta; Magnoliopsida; Malpighiales; Euphorbiaceae.
GAUUUCUAUAACCAUACAACUGUCUGUCUAUACACAUAAUGGCCUCUAUCCUUCGUUUUCACUUGUAAGGGGGGUUGGACUCUGCUCCCCAAAAAUGGGCUUCAAAAGCUUUCGUCCAUGAGAGUUUGUGGGUGCAUGUGUAUUCCUCCAAGUCCAAACCAAUAUUAUUCCUUGGGUUGGAAAAGGAAAAUAGCACUAAACAAAAAUCAAUCGAGUUGUGUUUCCGCCCAG